RNAcentral lists this ribosomal RNA (1475 nucleotides) under metagenome. RNAcentral describes it as "bacterial SSU rRNA". It matches the Rfam family "Bacterial small subunit ribosomal RNA". The record is from RNAcentral.
AGAGGUUGAUCCUGGCUCAGAAUUAACGCUGGCGGCGCGUCUUAAGCAUGCAAGUCGAACGAGCGAAAUCCCUUCGGGGAUUAGCUAGUGGCGAACGGGUGAGUAACACGUAGGUAAUCUACCCUUCAGUUGGGGACAGCCCCUGGAAACAGGGAUUAAUACCGAGUACGUUCUUUAGUACACAAGUAUUUAAGAAGAAAGAUGCAAAUCACUGAAGGAUGAGCCUGCGCCCCAUUAGUUAGUUGGUAAGGUAAUGGCUUACCAAGACCGCGAUGGGUAGCCGGCCUGAGAGGGUGAACGGCCACAUUGGAACUGAGAAACGGUCCAGACUCCUACGGGAGGCAGCAGCUAAGAAUCUUCCGCAAUGGGCGAAAGCCUGACGGAGCGACGCCGCGUGGAGGAAGAAGGCGUUAUGCGUUGUAAACUCCUUUUACAGGGGAAGAUAAUGACUGUACCCUGUGAAUAAGCAUAGGCUAAUUACGUGCCAGCAGCCGCGGUAAUACGUAAUAUGCAAGCGUUAUUCGGAAUUACUGGGCGUAAAGGGUGCGUAGGCGGUUAAAUAAGUCGGAUGUGAAAUCCCACGGCUCAACCGUGGAAUUGCGUUCGAAACUGUUUGACUAGAGUUCGGAAGGGGAAGGCGGAAUUCCUGGUGUAGGAGUGAAAUCUAUAGAUAUCAGGAGGAACACCGGUGGCGAAGGCGGCCUUCUGGUCUAGAACUGACGCUGAGGCACGAAAGCGUGGGGAGCGAACGGGAUUAGAUACCCCGGUAGUCCACGCCGUAAACGUUGUACACUAGGUGUUAGUGGUAUCGAUCCCACUAGUGCCGCAGUUAACGCAUUAAGUGUACCGCCUGGGGAGUAUGCCCGCAAGGGUGAAACUCAAAGGAAUUGACGGGGGCCCGCACAAGUGGUGGAGCAUGUGGUUUAAUUCGAUGAUACGCGAGGAACCUUACCUGGACUUGACAUAUACUGGAAUGUAUGGGAAACUAUGCAGCUCUUCGGAGUCAGUAUACAGGUGGUGCAUGGUUGUCGUCAGCUCGUGCCGUGAGGUGUUGGGUUAAGUCCCGCAACGAGCGCAACCCCUAUUAAUUGUUGCUAACAGGUAAUGCUGAGCACUCGAUUGAAACUGCCGUUAAAAAACGGAGGAAGGUGGGGAUGACGUCAAAUCAGCAUGCUCCUUAUGUCCAGGGCUACACACGUGCUACAAUGGUCGGUACAAAGGGCAGCAAGACCGCGAGGUGGAGCAAAUCCCAAAAAACCGAUCUCAGUUCGGAUUGCAGUCUGAAACUCGACUGUAUGAAGCUGGAAUCACUAGUAAUCGCUGAUCAGCAACGCAGCGGUGAAUGCGUUCCCGGGCCUUGUACACACCGCCCGUCACACCACCCGAAUUGAGUAUACCCGAAGUCGCUGAGCUAACCGUAAGGAAGCAGGUGCCGAAGGUGUAUUUAGUAAGGGGGGUGAAGUCGUAACAAGGUA